RNAcentral lists this ribosomal RNA (500 nucleotides) under uncultured bacterium. RNAcentral's name for it is "partial 16S ribosomal RNA". It matches the Rfam family "Bacterial small subunit ribosomal RNA", at positions 29 to 523 of the family's 1533-position model. The record is from RNAcentral.
AUUGAACGCUGGCGGCAUGCCUUACACAUGCAAGUCGAACGGCAGCACGGGAGCAAUCCUGGUGGCGAGUGGCGAACGGGUGAGUAAAGUAUCGGAACGUGCCCAGUCGUGGGGGAUAACGUAGCGAAAGUUACGCUAAUACCGCAUACGAUCUAUGGAUGAAAGCGGGGGAUCGCAACACCUCGCGCGAUUGGAGCGGCCGAUAACAGAUUAGGUAGUUGGUGGGAUAAAGGCCCACCAAGCCGACGAUCUGUAGCUGGUCUGAGAGGACGACCAGCCACACUGGGACUGAGACACGGCCCAGACUCCUACGGGAGGCAGCAGUGGGGAAUUUUGGACAAUGGGCGAAAGCCUGAUCCAGCCAUGCCGCGUGCAGGAUGAAGGCCUUCGGGUUGUAAACUGCUUUUGUACGGAACGAAAAGGACUGCCCUAAUACGGUGGUCCCAUGACGGUACCGUAAGAAUAAGCACCGGCUAACUACGUGCCAGCAGCCGCCGCCG